This 253-nucleotide ribosomal RNA is filed under the name uncultured bacterium. RNAcentral's name for it is "partial 16S ribosomal RNA". It matches the Rfam family "Bacterial small subunit ribosomal RNA", at positions 524 to 776 of the family's 1533-position model. The record is from RNAcentral.
UACGUAGGGUGCGAGCGUUAAUCGGAAUUACUGGGCGUAAAGCGUGCGCAGGCGGUUCUCCAAGUCCGUUGUGAAAGCCCUGGGCUCAACCUGGGAAUUGCAGUGGAUACUGGCGAGCUAGAGUGCGGUAGAGGAUGGUGGAAUUCCCGGUGUAGCGGUGAAAUGCGUAGAGAUCGGGAGGAACACCCGUGGCGAAGGCGGCCAUCUGGACCAGCACUGACGCUGAGGCACGAAAGCGUGGGGAGCAAACAGG